This 468-nucleotide ribosomal RNA is filed under the name uncultured bacterium. RNAcentral describes it as "bacterial SSU rRNA". It matches the Rfam family "Bacterial small subunit ribosomal RNA", at positions 28 to 487 of the family's 1533-position model. The record is from RNAcentral.
GAUGAACGCUAGCGGCAGGCUUAACACAUGCAAGUCGAGGGGCAGCACGGGUAGCAAUACCUGGUGGCGACCGGCGCAAGGGUGCGUAACGCGUGAGCAACAUGCCCUAUACAGGGGGAUAAUCCAGGGAAACUUGGUCUAAUAUCCCAUAGUAUUUAGAGGAGGCAUCGUUCUAUAAAUUAAAGCUUCGGUGGUAUAGGAUUGGCUCGCGUGACAUUAGCUAGAUGGUGAGGUAACGGCUCACCAUGGCAAUGAUGUCUAGGGGUUCUGAGAGGAAGGCCCCCCACACUGGGACUGAGACACGGCCCAGACUCCUACGGGAGGCAGCAGUGAGGAAUAUUGGACAAUGGAUGGAAAUCUGAUCCAGCCAUGCCGCGUGCAAGGAAGACAGCCCUAUGGGUUGUAAACUGACUUUUAUAUGGGAGCAAUAAGGUCUAACGUGUAGACUGAUGAGAGUACCAUAUGAAU